GUAUUGUAUUGCGUUAAACGCAGAUGCAUUCCAUGAGACUUUGUUACAGUGUGUGUGUAAAGAUGCAGAACCACAGCAGGAGGACAGGUCCCCCCAACCACAGAACUACAGAGGGUGCACAGGUGUGAGUGGAUGUGUAAACAGAGCGUGCACAUGCCCCCAUACAGGGGCCAGCAACAACCCUUGUUGACAAUUCGGUAAUGAUCCUUCCGCAGGUUCACCUACGGAAA
RNAcentral lists this unclassified non-coding RNA (230 nucleotides) under uncultured fungus. RNAcentral's name for it is "sequence contains ITS1". Lineage: Eukaryota; Fungi. The record is from RNAcentral.